Molecule: microRNA precursor, 109 nt
Filed under: Marmota monax (woodchuck)
Lineage: Eukaryota; Metazoa; Chordata; Mammalia; Rodentia; Sciuridae
Source: RNAcentral
AGUGAAAUUGCUGCACUAUAUGGUAACUCUAUUUUUGAUGUUUUGAAGACCCCUCUUCCCUCCGUUGUUUUCCACAGUGGCUAUAUCAUUUUACAUCUCCACAAGCAAU